UAGGGAAUCUUCGGCAAUGGGGGCAACCCUGACCGAGCAACGCCGCGUGAGUGAAGAAGGUUUUCGGAUCGUAAAGCUCUGUUGUAAGAGAAGAACGUGUGUGAGAGUGGAAAGUUCACACAGUGACGGUAACUUACCAGAAAGGGACGGCUAACUACGUGCCAGCAGCCGCGGUAAUACGUAGGUCCCGAGCGUUGUCCGGAUUUAUUGGGCGUAAAGCGAGCGCAGGCGGUUUAAUAAGUCUGAAGUUAAAGGCAGUGGCUUAACCAUUGUUCGCUUUGGAAACUGUUAAACUUGAGUGAACAAGGGGAGAGUGGAAUUCCAUGUGUAGCGGUGAAAUGCGUAGAUAUAUGGAGGAACACCGGUGGCGAAAGCGGCUCUCUGGUCUGUAACUGACGCUGAGGCUCGAAAGCGUGGGGAGCAAACAGG
RNAcentral lists this ribosomal RNA (429 nucleotides) under bacterium. Its description in RNAcentral is "partial 16S ribosomal RNA". It matches the Rfam family "Bacterial small subunit ribosomal RNA", at positions 355 to 776 of the family's 1533-position model. The record is from RNAcentral.